Molecule: small RNA, 78 nt
Filed under: Flavobacterium sp. 1
Lineage: Bacteria; Pseudomonadati; Bacteroidota; Flavobacteriia; Flavobacteriales; Flavobacteriaceae
Description: Flavo-1 RNA
Rfam family: Flavo-1 RNA
Source: RNAcentral
UUUUAGCCCCGAUAGCAGUGAAAAUCCUUAUGAGCCGGGGUUCGGCUUAUAAGAUUGUAACGGAUAGCGGGAACCCAU